GAUGAACGCUGGCGGCGUGCUUAACACAUGCAAGUCGAACGAUGAAGCCCAGCUUGCUGGGUGGAUUAGUGGCGAACGGGUGAGUAACACGUGAGUAACCUGCCCUUGACUCUGGGAUAAGCCUGGGAAACUGGGUCUAAUACUUGAUAUGACUUCUCAUCGCAUGGUGGGGGGUGGAAAGAUUUAUUGGUCUUGGAUGGACUCGCGGCCUAUCAGCUUGUUGGUGAGGUAAUGGCUCACCAAGGCGACGACGGGUAGCCGGCCUGAGAGGGUGACCGGCCACACUGGGACUGAGGCACGGACCAGACUCCUACGGGAGGCAGGAGUGGGGAAUAUUGCACAAUGGGCGCAAGCCUGAUGCAGCGACGCCGCGGGAGGGAUGACGGCCUUCGGGUUGUAAACCUCUUUCAGUAGGGAAGAAGCGAGAGUGACGGUACCUGCAGAAGAAGCGCCGGCUAACUAC
RNAcentral lists this ribosomal RNA (463 nucleotides) under uncultured bacterium. Its description in RNAcentral is "partial 16S ribosomal RNA". It matches the Rfam family "Bacterial small subunit ribosomal RNA", at positions 28 to 504 of the family's 1533-position model. The record is from RNAcentral.